GGGCCGUUAGCUCAGUUGGUAGAGCAGCUGACUCUUAAUCAGCGGGUCGAAGGUUCAACUCCUUCACGGCUCACCA
Molecule: transfer RNA, 76 nt
Filed under: Nitrospirae bacterium GWC2_56_14
Lineage: Bacteria; Pseudomonadati; Nitrospirota
Also listed under: 2 other names
Description: tRNA-Lys
Rfam family: tRNA
About the family: Transfer RNA (tRNA) molecules are approximately 80 nucleotides in length. Their secondary structure includes four short double-helical elements and three loops (D, anti-codon, and T loops).
Source: RNAcentral